Molecule: ribosomal RNA, 1495 nt
Filed under: Promethearchaeum syntrophicum
Lineage: Archaea; Promethearchaeati; Promethearchaeota; Promethearchaeia; Promethearchaeales; Promethearchaeaceae
Description: Candidatus Prometheoarchaeum syntrophicum Archaeal small subunit ribosomal RNA
Rfam family: Archaeal small subunit ribosomal RNA
Source: Rfam by way of RNAcentral
ACUCUGGUUGAUCCUGCCAGAUCCGACUGCUAUCCGGGUAAGACUUAGCCAUGCAAGUCGAAUGGAACAGCUUGUUCCAUGGCGAACUGCUCAGUAACAAGUAAUCAACUUACCCUUCAGUGGAGAAUAACCUCGGGAAACUGAGGCUAAUACUUCAUAGUUGGAAAUUCCUGGAAUGGUUUUCCAUCGAAAGAUAUUUCUAAAUGCGGAAAAUUCGCUGAAGGAUAGGAUCGCUUUCGAUUACGGUUGUUGGUGAGGUAAUGGCUCACCAAGCCUAUGAUCGAUAAGGGCCGUGAGAGCGGUAGCCCUGAGAUGGAUACUGAGACAAUGAUCCAGGCCUUACGAGGCGCAGCAGGCGCGAAACCUUUACAAUGCACGCAAGUGUGAUAAGGUUACCCGGAGUGCCAAAAUUAAAUUUUGGCUGUUAUAGGUGUGUAAAUAACCCUAUGAGAAAGGAGAGGGCAAGGCUGGUGCCAGCCGCCGCGGUAAAACCAGCUCUUCAAGUGGUCGGGAAUAUUAUUGGGCUUAAAGUGUCCGUAGCCGGUUUGGUAAGUUCCUGGUUAAAUCUGGCAGCUUAACUGUCAGUCAGCUAGGAAUACUACUUUACUAGAGGGUGGGAAAGGUUUGAGGUACUCCAGGGGUAGCGGUGAAAUGCGAUAAUCCUUGGGGGACCACCAGUGGCGAAGGCGUCAGACUGGAACACGCCUGACGGUGAGGGACGAAAGCCAGGGGAGCGAACGGGAUUAGAUACCCCGGUAGUCCUGGCCGUAAACGAUGCGUGCUAGGUGUUGGUAGGGCUUUGAGCUGUAUCAGUGCCGUAGGGAAACUGUUAAGCGCGCCGCCUGGGAAGUACGCUCGCAAGGGUGAAACUUAAAGGAAUUGGCGGGGAAGCACCACAAGGGGUGAAGCCUGCGGUUCAAUUGGACUCAACGCCGGGAAACUUACCGGGGGCGACAGCAGAAUGAAGGUCAGGCUGACGACCUUACCAGACAAGCUGAGCGGAGGUGCAUGGCCGUCGCCAGUUCGUGCCGUGAGGUGUCCUGUUAAGUCAGGCAACGAACGAGACCCACACGCUUAGUUGCCAUCAAAAGCCCUUACGGGUUUGUUGGGAACGCUAAGCGGACUGCCACCAUAUAGGUGGAGGAAGGAGUGGGCCACGGCAGGUCAGUAUGCCCCUAAUCCCCCGGGCCACACGCGGGCUGCAAUGGUAUGGACAAUGGGUCGCAACUCUGAAAAGAGAAGCCAAUCUCGAAACCAUAUCUCAGUUGGGAUUGUCGGCUGUAACUCGCCGACAUGAACGUGGAAUCCCUAGUAAUCGUGUGUCAUCAUCGCACGGUGAAUACGUCUCUGCUUCUUGCACACACCGCCCGUCGCUCCAUCCGAGUGUAGUAUAGUUGAAAAACGGUCCUAAGGGUCGUUUUAAAAUUGUGCUGCGUGAGGAGGGUGAAGUCGUAACAAGGUAGCCGUAGGGGAACCUGCGGCUGGAUCACCUCCA